AACCCAUGUUGAGGACAUUUCCGCCGGAGAUCCUUGAACCUUUCCCAUGUCUAAAAAUGAGACUCUAAUUCUGUUUGCACAAAAGAAGAUAUCUCAUCCCUUGGAUU
Dioscorea cayenensis subsp. rotundata (Guinea yam) is the source of this 107-nucleotide small nucleolar RNA. Lineage: Eukaryota; Viridiplantae; Streptophyta; Magnoliopsida; Dioscoreales; Dioscoreaceae. The record is from RefSeq and is a predicted model, not a curated record.